GGCAGAAUUAUCGAUGUAUUUUUAUUUUGAAAAAGCCUUUAUUUUGAAGUUGUCUGUUGAUGGUUGUCACUUCCUGUCUGCUGUUUUGAUGUUUAGUUUUCCACACGUACAUGCUUUUCUGGAUGCACGGCUGUCUACUUUGUUAACCUCCACAGAGUUUUCACUCUGUAAUGUGUAUCAAGAGCCACAGUAAGGGAGUCAAGUUUACUAUGACUCACGAUUCAUUUUACAAGAACGAGUUUAACUAGUUGGACAGCUGCAGCUUUUACGUUGCAGUGAAGACAGCACACAUGGAGACGGCUUUCCUUUUCUUCAAACCAUCAGAAGAGUCUGACUGACGCUUGGGAGCCAUAAUGAAGGGCACAAAGUUAGAGAAUGUAGCAUAAUCCAAGGUAGCAUACAACCAGAGAUUGGAAACAAAGCCGUUUUAUAGCGCCACAUGACGACGUAUUCAUCUGCCCUGCUCACCAACUAGUUCCAUGUAACCAGUUCUGACAUAACGACAGAACUCCAUAGGGUCCCUGGUCCCAGAGCUAGAUGCUUCAGAUCUGUGGUUGUUCUCCUACCAACUGGCCUAAUCUCCACCUGUGGGAUGCUGCUGCUGACCUUCCUCCAGCCCACUGCUUCCAGCUGCCUAUUUCCACCAAUCUACUCUGCAUCACCCUCACUAUACUUGAUAUGUUCAUCGACUGACUGUUUGAAUUUUACUACCAGCUACAUAUGUAGUAUAUUUAAUGCCAGAGCCGUACACCAUAACAGUAAACUAUGAAUCAGUUUCAAUGUUAGCUUGUACUUUGUAUAUUUCAUCUAUGUUACUCUGAUCUUGCAUGCAUUCCAAUGUGUGUUACAUGCUUCGUUGUCCACCACCCCCUCUACCUCUUCUGUCCCUCUCAACCCGCAGGCCAGCAACAGAUGGGUCCCCCCAUAUAAAGAUAUGGGUUCUGUAAAGCGUCUUGAGACAAUUUGACUGUAAUUGGCGCUAUAUAAAUAAAAUUGAAUUCAAUUGAUGUUUUUGUGCAAAGCUAGGCUAACAGGUUCGCCUUCCUUUCAGUCAUGGUGCGUAACUGAUCUGAGUGUUCUUCUGCUUUCAAUCUUUGUAGUGAGCUAGGGCUUCCUGAGACUGUCUGUCUGUCUGUACCUGAGAGUGUCUGUCUGUUUGUACCUGAGAGUUUCCAGUCUACAGUCUGAAUCCUCCACUUUAGCUCUCAGCAUCUUCUCUCCUGAGUCUCCCGGAUGGCUGUAGCUCAGGUCCAGCUCUCUCAGAUUUGAGGUCUUGCAGCUCAGAGCUGAGGCCAGAGAAGCACAGCCUUCCUCUGUGACCAGACAGCCUGACAGCCUGCACACACAAAACAACACAAACCUGACGGACAACACUUGGCUGGAUGUUUCUCACUCUUUUCUUGUUUGUCUUUCACCUACAUUUUGCUGCACAUUUCAUGCGUCUCAAGCAAAUCAACAAUCUCAACAAUGAUUAGUGGAAUUUAAUCAUGUAGAAAAUAAACCCGGACAAAGUCCUGCACAA
Molecule: long non-coding RNA, 1522 nt
Organism: Amphiprion ocellaris (clown anemonefish)
Lineage: Eukaryota; Metazoa; Chordata; Actinopteri; Pomacentridae
Exons: 3
Source: RefSeq, a predicted model, not a curated record